Molecule: long non-coding RNA, 651 nt
Organism: Mesocricetus auratus (golden hamster)
Lineage: Eukaryota; Metazoa; Chordata; Mammalia; Rodentia; Cricetidae
Exons: 3
Source: RefSeq, a predicted model, not a curated record
ACUGACAACCAGUAUAACUGGGAGCUACUUCCAUCAUUUCCCAGUAGUUCUGCCGACUUUUGUGUUAGUUACUGUCGCUAUGAUGAAACAUCAUGACCAAAAGCAAGUUGUGGAGGAAAGGGCUGCCUCCACCCUCCCCGCCUCAGUGAUGACCUCUCGGUUUUCCUCACCUCCGGUUGUAGGAAGCCAUGUUUUAGGCUGCAUAUAAGUUUAAGAUUUGCUUUUGAUUGGCUAGAUGUUAUUUCUCUUCUCUCCCUGCAGUCUUGUACUCAUUGGUCAACCUCUUCCCACCCUCUUUCCUCAUGUUCCUCCCAAGCCUCUAGUAACUAUUCCAAGCCUUUUCAUUUGGGUCAUCCACCAGCUCCCAAAUCAUGACAUAGUGCUGAAUGCUCGGCCUGGCUUAGGAACGUUUCUGGGUGGUGACAGAGUGUUACAGAGGCUGCAGUCUGAAGAGUUUAAAAAGUCAGAGGGCUGAUUCAGAUGCAAAGGGAGUGACUUCUGAUGGUCAGUGUUGAUUAACUCAGUUCAAGAGCUGCUGGAAGAGUGCAUGUCAACUUGAGACCUAGUACUGAACUGAACUGCAGAUGUUCUGGACCAUGAAGCCAGAACCUGGAAGCAACCUAGAUGCCAAGCAACAUUUACACUAUGCAG